Molecule: small RNA, 78 nt
Filed under: Echinops telfairi (small Madagascar hedgehog)
Lineage: Eukaryota; Metazoa; Chordata; Mammalia; Afrosoricida; Tenrecidae
Description: 7SK RNA (ENSETEG00000024887.1)
Source: RNAcentral
UCUGGCUGGGACAUCUGUCACCCAUUAAUUGGCAAGAUUGAUCCCUCAGAUCUGGCUGGAUAGGGGUGAUGGUCCCCC